CUUACUGUCCAAGGAUGAAAAUGUUUGACCCAUCUACACAUCAAGUUGUCAAUAACCCGGAUGGACGUUACGCCUUCGGUUCCCUUUGCGUAAAAGAUUGCCCACCUUACCUUGUGAAAGAAAAUGAUGCAUGUGUGAUCGAGUGCCCAGCAUACAAGUCAGCGAACCCUAACACCAGCAUAUGCCAACCUUGUUUCGAAAAUUGUCCUGAAAAACCAUGUCGGUUGAACCAUGAAAAGGGUCGUCAUUUUUUACAAUUCGGAAAUGUUCUGGUCAAAGAGGCU
Mya arenaria is the source of this 284-nucleotide long non-coding RNA. RefSeq lists it as uncharacterized. Lineage: Eukaryota; Metazoa; Mollusca; Bivalvia; Myida; Myidae. The transcript is spliced from 3 exons. The record is from RefSeq and is a predicted model, not a curated record.